Molecule: non-coding RNA, 99 nt
Organism: Acidithrix ferrooxidans
Lineage: Bacteria; Bacillati; Actinomycetota; Acidimicrobiia; Acidimicrobiales; Acidimicrobiaceae
Source: Rfam
GAGAGCCGGAUGCGGUAGAAGUCGCAAGUCUGGUUCGGAGGGCGGACCAGAGAAACCCACCGACGGAAACGUUGGCAGGGCGCUCUGGUUCGACCCUAC